This 433-nucleotide ribosomal RNA is filed under the name uncultured bacterium. RNAcentral's name for it is "partial 16S ribosomal RNA". It matches the Rfam family "Bacterial small subunit ribosomal RNA", at positions 29 to 507 of the family's 1533-position model. The record is from RNAcentral.
AACGAACGCUGGCGGCAUGCCUAACACAUGCAAGUCGAACGAGACCUUCGGGGCUAGUGGCGCACGGGUGGGUAACGCGUGGGAACCUGCCCUUAGGUUCGGAAUAACUUCCCGAAAGAGGUCCUAAUACCGGAUAAUGUAUUCCGACCAAAGAUUUAUCGCCUUUGGAUGGGCCCGCGUUGGAUUAGCUAGUUGGUAGGGUAAAAGCCUACCAAGGCGACGAUCCAUAGCUGGUGUGAGAGGAUGAUCAGCCACACUGGGCCUGGGACACGGCGCAGACUCCUACGGGAGGCAGCAGUGGGGAAUAUUGGACAAUGGGCGAGAGCCUGAUCCAGCAAUGCCGCGUGAGUGAUGAAGGCCUGAGGGUUGUAAAGCUCUUUUACCCGUGAUGAUAAUGACAGUACCGGGAGAAUAAGCUCCGGCUAACUCCGUG